Molecule: small nuclear RNA, 322 nt
Filed under: Erinaceus europaeus (western European hedgehog)
Lineage: Eukaryota; Metazoa; Chordata; Mammalia; Eulipotyphla; Erinaceidae
Description: 7SK RNA
Rfam family: 7SK RNA
About the family: 7SK was discovered as an abundant small nuclear RNA in the mid-70s but a possible function has only recently been suggested. Two independent studies have found that 7SK RNA binds the CDK9/cyclin T complex (known as elongation factor P-TEFb).
Source: Rfam by way of RNAcentral
AGACGUGAGGGCGAUCUGGCUGCAACAUCUAUCACUCCAUUGAUCGCCAGGGUUGAUUUGGCUGAUCUGGUUAGCUAGGCUGGUGUACCCUUCCUCCCUCACCGCUCCAUGUGCGUCCCUCCAGAAGCUGCAUGCUUCCCCGAAUAGAGAUGCAAGGGAGACGGACCAGGUCUUCUGUGGAGUAGCUGCGCUCCCUGCUAGAACCUCCAAACAAGCUCUCAAGAAAGGUGGGGGGGGGGAUAGUAAUAUUUCUGCAUUAAAGAAAAUAAAUCUGUGCUUAAAAAUGCUUCCACCUUAGGAGCCAGGCGGUUAAGCACCUGGU